This 492-nucleotide ribosomal RNA is filed under the name uncultured bacterium. RNAcentral describes it as "partial 16S ribosomal RNA". It matches the Rfam family "Bacterial small subunit ribosomal RNA", at positions 29 to 507 of the family's 1533-position model. The record is from RNAcentral.
AGUGAACGCUGGCGGUAGGCCUAACACAUGCAAGUCGAACGGCAGCACAGUAAGAGCUUGCUCUUACGGGUGGCGAGUGGCGGACGGGUGAGGAAUACAUCGGAAUCUACUUCUUCGUGGGGGAUAACGUAGGGAAACUUACGCUAAUACCGCAUACGACCUACGGGUGAAAGCAGGGGAUCUUCGGACCUUGCGCGAUUGAAUGAGCCGAUGUCGGAUUAGCUAGUUGGCGGGGUAAAGGCCCACCAAGGCGACGAUCCGUAGCGGGUCUGAGAGGAUGAUCAGCCACACUGGAAAUGAGAGACGGUCCAGACACCUACGGGAGGCAGAAGUGGGGAAUAUUGUGCAAUGGGGGCAAGCCUGAUGCAGCACCAUCGCGUGUGUGAAGAAGGGCUUCUGGGUGUAAAACCCUGUUUUUGGGGAAGAAAAGAGGGGGAGGUAAAUGCCCCCAUUUUGACGGUACCCAAAAAGAAAGCCCCGGCUAAAUUCGUG